AUUCAGUCCUGCCGCUGCUUUGUGCUGGGGAGAGACAGAAAGCGAAAACAAGAGAAAGAAAGGGAGAGACAUGGACAUACCCACACUCAGGAGCCAAAGAAUGGGACAUCUGAACCGAAUAAUUCCUCUCCUCUUCAACACUGGAAGAAGCCAAGAGACCUUGUUCGUCCCAAGAGAGAGUCAGAAUCUUGGGGUUCCCUGGCUCUUAAGGAUCACUGAGGACAAGAUGGGAAAACAUAGCACUGAUCUUCUGGAGAAAAGGGAUAGCUUACUUUGGCAACCAGGGACCUACUCUGCUGCCAUUCUUCCCACAGCAUGCUGUUUGCUCAGCAAGAGCAGGCGAUGAGGAAGAUAGCUAUUCAAAAUGAAAGAUGGGGGGAGUGGGCAUGGAUGGGCAACAGGGAGCAAACAGACAAGAAGGAGAUUUAAAGGAAGGGUAUCCAUGAGAGAAAGGGAGAAGUGAGGGAAAGCAAAGAAGAAAUAAAUGAUGGAGGAGAAGGAAGAGGAGGAAGUUAGGGGCACAGCGAUGCUUUGUUUGCCAAGAUGGAUAAAGAGGGAUGGAAUGUCUAUGCAGAGGACUCCACAUACUGAUCCCACACAGCCUAGGCCAGGCAGAGGGCAAUGGCAGCAUUGCAGGCAGAAUGCAGGAGCAGAUCUUUCUGAGGGGCAACCAAGCUGCCGGAGACAGGGAACCCAUCCCACAAGAUCUUCCUAAAAACUGGAUAUUUCUACCAAACCAGGAAUUUAUCAAAAGCAAUGGAGAAAAUCUUCCAAAUGAACAGAAAAGGAGGCUAGAAUGACAGGAAACUGCAAAAUCUGAUUCCAGGAGCUCCAGCGGGGAGAUGGUGAUCCUGGGACUGAAGAGUUUGCUGCGGAAGAUCAGCACAGAGAGAAUGGAGCGUCCAGAGUUCCAGCAUCCACCACCAAGUGCCAUCCAGCUCCAAGGUAUUUAGCAGAAGGGGUAUACUAGCCAGCAGUUAAGGUCAAAUUAAAUCUGGAAUGGGAAUUCAUUCCCUGCCUUGGUACUCUGGAGGCCCCUGUAGUAGGCUAGCCUGUGUAAGGCCUGCGGAAAUGCUAAUACCAUCCCAGCAAGCUAGAUUCCUCAACCAGCCAGCCAAGCCCACAUGCCCUGGCUGUCUUGCUGCUGAUGCUGUCUCAGCAUCAGGCCAACCAAGGCCAGCUUUUGACACAAAACCUGGCCACGUUGCUGCCUUCAAGGCUGCCAG
RNAcentral lists this long non-coding RNA (1226 nucleotides) under Homo sapiens (human). RNAcentral describes it as "non-protein coding lnc-ZFHX2-2:1". Lineage: Eukaryota; Metazoa; Chordata; Mammalia; Primates; Hominidae. The record is from RNAcentral.